CUGUUCUACAAGUCCUCCGUUAAAUCCACCUGCUCAACAGAUGGGCUGCGGGGGAUACUAUAGAGCUAGGAGGCGGGAGAGGCAAACGGUACUCAGUGGGUAGGGGUAAAAUCCAUUGAUCUACUGAAGACCACCAGUGGCGAAGGCGGUUUGCCAGAACGCGCUCGACGGUGAGGGAUGAAAGCUGGGGGAGCAAACCGGAUUAGAUACCCGGGUAGUCCCAGCUGUAAACGAUGCAGACUCGGUGAUGGGCUGGCCUUGUGCCAGCCCAGUGCCGCAGGGAAGCCGUUAAGUCUGCCGCCUGGGGA
RNAcentral lists this ribosomal RNA (308 nucleotides) under uncultured archaeon. Its description in RNAcentral is "bacterial SSU rRNA". It matches the Rfam family "Archaeal small subunit ribosomal RNA", at positions 526 to 834 of the family's 1478-position model. The record is from RNAcentral.